UUUUUGCAGAUAGAUAUAUAUAACUUACUGCAAGUCAGCUAGGUGUCGAAAGAACCUUAGCACCGUGCAACAGGAAGAAGGGAGGAAGAAAUUGUCUAAAAUAGCUUCAACAAGACAUUUGUGUGUUUUGCGUAUGUGUGUGUGGAAUCAAAUAUGGGAGAUUAAUGGAAUCCAACAAAUUUGGAUUGUGGGUGGCUAUUGUUUUUUGCCCAAUGGGACUGGACUGAGCGAAGUUCUAAUAAAAAUAGGUCAAAGUGUGUUAUUGUAAGAAUCAUGAAGCAAAUAAUAGCAACUGGACUACCCCAGAAGUUAUGUAUAGGGAAUGUGAAAAAUAUGCCAAUACUAGCCUCCCCACUGGGUGGUUUGGACUCUGUGUAAUGAG
This is a non-coding RNA of Pseudonaja textilis, 382 nucleotides long. The record is from RefSeq and is a predicted model, not a curated record. Lineage: Eukaryota; Metazoa; Chordata; Lepidosauria; Squamata; Elapidae.